Molecule: ribosomal RNA, 253 nt
Filed under: uncultured bacterium
Lineage: Bacteria
Description: partial 16S ribosomal RNA
Rfam family: Bacterial small subunit ribosomal RNA
Source: RNAcentral
UACGUAGGGGGCAAGCGUUGUCCGGAAUCAUUGGGCGUAAAGGGCGUGUAGGCGGUCAAGUAAGUGGAAUGUGAAAUGCCCCGGCUCACCCGGGGACCUGCAUCCCAAACUGCUUGGCUUGAGUAUGGGAGAGGAUGAGGGAAUUCCUGGUGUAGCGGUGAAAUGCGUAGAUAUCAGGAGGAACACCGGUGGCGAAAGCGCUCAUCUGGCCCAAUACUGACGCUGAGGCGCGAAAGCUAGGGGAGCAAACGGG